RNAcentral lists this ribosomal RNA (492 nucleotides) under uncultured bacterium. Its description in RNAcentral is "partial 16S ribosomal RNA". It matches the Rfam family "Bacterial small subunit ribosomal RNA", at positions 29 to 507 of the family's 1533-position model. The record is from RNAcentral.
AGUGAACGCUGGCGGUAGGCCUAACACAUGCAAGUCGAACGGCAACACAGUAAGAGCUUGCCCUUACGGGUGGCGGGUGGCGGACGGGUUAGGAAUACAUCGCACUCUUCUUUUUUGUGGGUGAUAACGUAGGGCAAAUUACGCUAAUACCGCAUACGACCUACGGGUUAAAGCAGUGGUUCUUCGGACCUUGCGUGAUUGAAUGAGCCGAUGUCGGAUUAGCUAGUUGGCGGGGUAAAGGCCCACCAAGGCGACGAUCCGUAGCUGGUCUGAGAGGAUGAUCAGCCACACUGGAACUGAGACACGGUCCAGACUCCUACGGGAGGCAGCAGUGGGGAAUAUUCGGCAAUGGGCGCAAGCCUGAUCCAGCCAUACCGCGUGAGUGAAGAAGGCCUUCGGGUUGUAAAGCCCUUUUGUUGGGAAAGAAAAGCAGCAUGUUAAUACCCCGCUGUUCUGACGGUACCCAAAGAAUAAGCACCGGCUAACUUCGUG